Molecule: transfer RNA, 73 nt
Filed under: Bos taurus (domestic cattle)
Lineage: Eukaryota; Metazoa; Chordata; Mammalia; Artiodactyla; Bovidae
Also listed under: 4 other names
Rfam family: tRNA
About the family: Transfer RNA (tRNA) molecules are approximately 80 nucleotides in length. Their secondary structure includes four short double-helical elements and three loops (D, anti-codon, and T loops).
Source: Rfam by way of RNAcentral
UCCCUGGUGGUCCAAUGGUUAGAACUCAGCACUUUCACUACUAUGGGCCCAGGUUCAACCCCUGGUCUGGGAA